Molecule: ribosomal RNA, 467 nt
Filed under: uncultured bacterium
Lineage: Bacteria
Description: partial 16S ribosomal RNA
Rfam family: Bacterial small subunit ribosomal RNA
Source: RNAcentral
ACGCACGCUGGCGGCGUGCUUAACCCCUGCAAGUCGAACGGAAAGGCCCUGCUUUUGUGGGGUGCUCGAGUGGCGAACGGGUGAGUAACACGUGAGUAACCUGCCCUUGACUUUGGGAUAACUUCAGGAAACUGGGGCUAAUACCGGAUAGGAGCUCCUGCUGCAUGGUGGGGGUUGGAAAGUUUCGGCGGUUGGGGAUGGACUCGCGGCUUAUCAGCUUGUUGGUGGGGUGGUGGCUUACCAAGGCUUUGACGGGUAGCCGGCCUGAGAGGGUGACCGGCCACAUUGGGACUGAGAUACGGCCCAGACUCCUACGGGAGGCAGCAGUGGGGAAUAUUGCACAAUGGGCGGAAGCCUGAUGCAGCAACGCCGCGUGCGGGAUGACGGCCUUCGGGUUGUAAACCGCUUUCGCCUGUGACGAAGCGUGAGUGACGGUAAUGGGUAAAGAAGCACCGGCUAACUACGUG